Molecule: ribosomal RNA, 216 nt
Filed under: uncultured bacterium
Lineage: Bacteria
Description: partial 16S ribosomal RNA
Rfam family: Bacterial small subunit ribosomal RNA
Source: RNAcentral
UACAGAGGUCUCAAGCGUUUGUUCGGAUUCAUUGGGCGUAAAGGGCGCGUAGGCGGCGUGUCAAGUCAGGCGUGAAAGCCCCGGGCUCAACCUGGGAACCGCGCUUGAGACUGGCAUGCUCGAGUUCGGGAGAGGAUGGUGGAAUUCCCAGUGUAGAGGUGAAAUUCGUAGAUAUUGGGAAGAACACCGAAUGGCGAAAGGCAGCAUCUCGUGGCC